AUAUAAGGACAACCCUCUCUGCAACUGUUCUCACAACUCAGCAGAACAAGAAGGAAUCUUGGUGAUCCCAUGGGAGCUCUGGAAGGAGCUCUGACUUGUCUGUGGAUCCAGGAGAUGUGUCAGACUGGGGGGAAGGAGCAGCAUUUGCAGGUGUUCCUGUUUCCUUCGUGGAUGGAAGCUUCUGCAGCUGUCGCCGAGUGUUCGAAAGAAGCAAAUCCGAGACAGAUCUUCCUUGAUUCCUUUUUCGUGGCUCUGCUCAGCACUUCCUCCUUCAUCUCCCGAGAGCAGAUGUGCCGAGAGGCAAGGAGCUUGUAGCAUGUCCUGGACUUGUCUGGUGUGCUGUAGGUGCUGAGGUAAUUGUGACUCCCCCCUCGGUGAGUUCCCACCCUGCACUGGCUCCUCUGUGCUCUGUUCCUCGCUCAGGAUGUCUCCUGGCAUCUC
This 441-nucleotide long non-coding RNA is filed under the name Manacus vitellinus (golden-collared manakin). RNAcentral describes it as "lncRNA (ENSMVIG00005011828.1)". Lineage: Eukaryota; Metazoa; Chordata; Aves; Passeriformes; Pipridae. The record is from RNAcentral.